RNAcentral lists this long non-coding RNA (848 nucleotides) under Glycine max (soybean). RNAcentral's name for it is "long non-coding RNA (GMAX_LNC002536)". The record is from RNAcentral. Lineage: Eukaryota; Viridiplantae; Streptophyta; Magnoliopsida; Fabales; Fabaceae.
UUUCUUUGUUCAAGACUGAUAAUAACCAUUAAAUUAUUGUCAUUGUAACAAUCGGAAAACGAGGGAAAGGAAUAGAAGAAAACAAUGAACAACCCUUGCCAGUUAGUUGCACCAACCAACAAGGCACCAACCAUAGUACCAAUCAAAAGGUAAAAAGAGAGAGAGACCAAAUCCUACUAAGAAAAGCAUAACUGUUCCUUUCCAUCCAAAGGGAGAAAACAUGCAGGUUUUGCUCAUGGCUUCCACAGAAUGGUUGUGUCUGCAAUCAUGGAAGUAACCACGUAUGGGUCCAUGUUGGAAGCUGGCCUUCUGUCCUCAAAAUAUCCCUUCCCUGCUUUCUCUGUGUCUCUCCCAACCCUAACAGAAGCUCCACGGUUUGCAACUCCCUAAACAAUAAUCAAAUCAAAUAAUAUAAACACCUUAUUAUAACUUGGUCUCAAGUCUAAACAAUGAGAAAACUUGUGACAAUUUGGUACAUGAAAAUAUUCUUUUUAUUUUCAAUCUUAAUUACAAAAAAUGACGCAGAAAAUUAAGUGGUGGCUGUGUCUGGAUUGGUAGUAAAAAUCCACGUUGAGGAGAAAAUCACAGUGAGAUCAACGCAUUACUUCAGAAAAUUACGGUUGAGUUCAAGCCGCAAUGUUACCAAUCAUGGUGCAAUUAAAAGAAAGUAACAAUUUUGAAAGUUAAAAUGAAAACAAACAAAAAAAAGAAAUAUCUUCUCAAAGGGUCCCCUAAAGUUUUUGUUUAGGUACAAAGGGUCCAUAAUGUUUGGUCUCACAUGGAAAAAAUGUGUCAAGUUAAAGUUAGUUCAAAGGAACAUGGUAUGGGUUUGGUCAUUUUUAUUUUUG